GACGAACGCUGGCGGCGUGCCUAACACAUGCAAGUCGAACGGGGCCAGGGGGCAACUCUGGUUCAGUGGCGGACGGGUGCGUAACACGUGAGGAACAUGACCUUCGGCGGGGGAGUAGCCGGCCCAACGGCCGGGUAAUACCGCGUACGACCACAUGGGGACAUCCCUGAGUGGUGAAAGCAGCAAUGCGCCGAUGGAGUGCCUCGCGGCCUAUCAGCUAGUUGGUGAGGUAACGGCUCACCGAGGCAACGACGGGUAGCUGGUCUGAGAGGAUGGCCG
RNAcentral lists this ribosomal RNA (279 nucleotides) under uncultured bacterium. RNAcentral's name for it is "partial 16S ribosomal RNA". It matches the Rfam family "Bacterial small subunit ribosomal RNA", at positions 28 to 306 of the family's 1533-position model. The record is from RNAcentral.